CGAAGAACCUUACCAGGCCUUGACAUGCAGAGAACUUUCCAGAGAUGGAUUGGUGGCCUUCGGGAACGUCUGACACAGGUGCUGCAUGGCUGUCGUCAGCUCGUGUCGUGAGAUGUUGGGUUAAGUCCGUAACGAGCGCAACCCUUGUCCUUAGUUACCAGCACGUUAUGGUGGGCACUCUAAGGAGACUGCCGGUGACAAACCGGAGGAAGGUGGGGAGUGACGUCAAGUCAUCAUGGCCCUUACGGCCUGGGCUACACACGUGCUACAAUGGUCGGUACAAAGGGUUGCCAAGCCGCGAGGUGGAGCUAAUCCCAUAAAACCGAUCGUAGUCCGGAUCGCAGUCUGCAACUCGACUGCGUGAAGUCGGAAUCGCUAGUAAUCGUGAAUCAGAAUGUCACGGUGAAUACGUUCCCGGGCCUU
RNAcentral lists this ribosomal RNA (423 nucleotides) under uncultured Pseudomonas sp. Its description in RNAcentral is "bacterial SSU rRNA". It matches the Rfam family "Bacterial small subunit ribosomal RNA", at positions 962 to 1382 of the family's 1533-position model. Lineage: Bacteria; Pseudomonadati; Pseudomonadota; Gammaproteobacteria; Pseudomonadales; Pseudomonadaceae. The record is from RNAcentral.